ACGCUGGCGGCGUGCCUAAUACAUGCAAGUAGAACGCUGAAGGAGGAGCUUGCUUCUCUGGAUGAGUUGCGAACGGGUGAGUAACGCGUAGGUAACCUGCCUGGUAGCGGGGGAUAACUAUUGGAAACGAUAGCUAAUACCGCAUAACAGUAGAUGUUGCAUGACAUUUGCUUAAAAGGUGCAAUUGCAUCACUACCAGAUGGACCUGCGUUGUAUUAGCUAGUUGGUGGGGUAACGGCUCACCAAGGCGACGAUACAUAGCCGACCUGAGAGGGUGAUCGGCCACACUGGGACUGAGACACGGCCCAGACUCCUACGGGAGGCAGCAGUAGGGAAUCUUCGGCAAUGGACGGAAGUCUGACCGAGCAACGCCGCGUGAGUGAAGAAGGUUUUCGGAUCGUAAAGCUCUGUUGUAAGAGAAGAACAGGUGUGAGAGUGGAAAGUUCACACUGUGACGGUAUCUUACCAGAAAGGGACGGCUAACUACGUGCCAGCAGCCGCGGUAAUACGUAGGUCCCGAGCGUUGUCCGGAUUUAUUGGGCGUAAAGCGAGCACAGGCGGUUAGAUAAGUCUGAAGUUAAAGGCUGUGGCUUAACCAUAGUACGCUUUGGAAACUGUUUAACUUGAGUGCAAGAGGGGAGAGUGGAAUUCCAUGUGUAGCGGUGAAAUGCGUAGAUAUAUGGAGGAACACCGGUGGCGAAAGCGGCUCUCUGGCUUGUAACUGACGCUGAGGCUCGAAAGCGUGGGGAGCAAACAGGAUUAGAUACCCCUGGUAGUCCACGCCGUAAACGAUGAGUGCUAGGUGUUAGACCCUUUCCGGGGUUUAGUGCCGCAGCUAACGCAUUAAGCACUCCGCCUGGGGAGUACGACCGCAAGGUUGAAACUCAAAGGAAUUGAC
This 898-nucleotide ribosomal RNA is filed under the name uncultured bacterium. RNAcentral describes it as "bacterial SSU rRNA". It matches the Rfam family "Bacterial small subunit ribosomal RNA", at positions 33 to 914 of the family's 1533-position model. The record is from RNAcentral.